UAGGGAAUUUUCGUCAAUGGGGGAGCCCUGAACGAGCAAUGCCGCGUGUGUGAAGAAGGUCUUCGGAUCGUAAAGCACUGUUGUAAGUGAAGAAUGCCAUAUAGAGGAAAUGCUAUGUGGGUGACGGUAGCUUACCAGAAAGCCACGGCUAACUACGUGCCAGCAGCCGCGGUAAUACGUAGGUGGCAAGCGUUAUCCGGAAUCAUUGGGCGUAAAGGGUGCGUAGGUGGCACGAUAAGUCUGAAGUAAAAGGCAACAGCUCAACUGUUGUAUGCUUUGGAAACUGUCGAGCUAGAGUGCAGAAGAGGGCGACGGAAUUCCAUGUGUAGCGAUAAAAUGCGUAGAUAUAUGGAGGAACACCAGUGGCGAAGGCGGUCGCCUGGUCUGUAACUGACACUGAUGCACGAAAGCGUGGGGGAGCAAAUAGGGAUUAGAUACC
RNAcentral lists this ribosomal RNA (439 nucleotides) under uncultured bacterium. RNAcentral's name for it is "bacterial SSU rRNA". It matches the Rfam family "Bacterial small subunit ribosomal RNA", at positions 355 to 786 of the family's 1533-position model. The record is from RNAcentral.